This 45-nucleotide non-coding RNA is filed under the name Schistosoma mattheei. Lineage: Eukaryota; Metazoa; Platyhelminthes; Trematoda; Strigeidida; Schistosomatidae. The record is from RNAcentral.
AUCCUACUGACGAGUCCCAAACAGGACGAAACGCGCGUCCUGGAU